GACGAACGCUGGCGGCGUGCUUAACACAUGCAAGUCGAACGGAAAGGCCCUGCUUUUGUGGGGUGCUCGAGUGGCGAACGGGUGAGUAACACGUGAGUAACCUGCCCUUGACUUUGGGAUAACUUCAGGAAACUGGGGCUAAUACCGGAUAGGAGCUCCUGCUGCAUGGUGGGGGUUGGAAAGUUUCGGCGGUUGGGGAUGGACUCGCGGCUUAUCAGCUUGUUGGUGGGGUAGUGGCUUACCAAGGCUUUGACGGGUAGCCGGCCUGAGAGGGUGACCGGCCACAUUGGGACUGAGAUACGACCCAGACUCCUACGGGAGGCAGCAGUGGGGAAUAUUGCACAAUGGGCGGAAGCCUGAUGCAACAACGCCGCGUGCGGGAUGACGGCCUUCGGGUUGUAAACCGCUUUCGCCUGUGACGAAGCGUGAGUGACGGUAAUGGGUAAAGAAGCACCGGCUAACUACGUG
RNAcentral lists this ribosomal RNA (468 nucleotides) under uncultured bacterium. Its description in RNAcentral is "partial 16S ribosomal RNA". It matches the Rfam family "Bacterial small subunit ribosomal RNA", at positions 28 to 507 of the family's 1533-position model. The record is from RNAcentral.